GCGGGUGUAGCACAAUGGUAGUGCAUCUGGUUGCCAAUCAGAGUACGUGGGUUCGAUUCCCAUCACCCGCUCAA
Molecule: transfer RNA, 74 nt
Filed under: Candidatus Portnoybacteria bacterium RBG_13_40_8
Lineage: Bacteria; Candidatus Portnoyibacteriota
Also listed under: 3 other names
Description: tRNA-Gly
Rfam family: tRNA
About the family: Transfer RNA (tRNA) molecules are approximately 80 nucleotides in length.
Source: RNAcentral